UACGUAGGGUGCAAGCGUUAAUCGGAAUUACUGGGCGUAAAGCGUGCGCAGGCGGUUGUGUAAGACAGAUGUGAAAUCCCCGGGCUCAACCUGGGAACUGCAUUUGUGACUGGCACAUGCUGGAGUGCGGCAGAGGGGGAUGGAAUUCCGGCGUGUAGCAGUGAAAUGCGUAGAUAUGCGGAGGAACACCGAUGGCGAAGGCAAUCCCCUGGGCCUGCACUGACGCUCAUGCACGAAAGCGUGGGGAGCAAACAGG
RNAcentral lists this ribosomal RNA (256 nucleotides) under uncultured bacterium. RNAcentral describes it as "partial 16S ribosomal RNA". It matches the Rfam family "Bacterial small subunit ribosomal RNA", at positions 524 to 776 of the family's 1533-position model. The record is from RNAcentral.